AUGGAAACAGGAACGGAAACUGUUCAGGAAAUUGAGAUUUCCAUAAAGGGUCUCAGCAAGGAGGAAAUCUACAGACGUAUAAAACGUAAAUUCAUGAAAAUAUUGGAAGGAAAUUUGGAAUGUUAUCAAAAACAACUUGGCAAAGUUGAAGUUGAAAAUUUUCGUUUGAAGGAGGAACUCAAAGCUCUCCAACAAAAAUAUGAAGAGGACGUGAAAAGCUCUAAAGCUGUUCCAUAUUUAAAAAGAAAACGACAAGAACUCGUUUUGAAGAAGAUACAGUUGGAAGAGGAACUUGAUACCUUCAAUGCAAUACAUGCUGAGACAAUCCAAAAAACACGAGAGUCCCAUCAAAAGGAAAUAGAGGAAUUGAAUAAAAAACAUCAAAACAAAGUGCAAACAUUAAAAACAAAGUUAGAAAAAGAGAAAGAACAGGCCGUGACUAAUAUAACAAAUGAAUAUGAAGACAAGAUAGGGAAACUUGAGAAACAGUUGUCCAAAGAAAUCAGGGAAUUGAAAAAAGAAAAUCAACUCCUGGGAAAAAAAGUAGCAAAGUUGACGGCUUCUUGCAGUGAAAAAGAUUCCAAAACUGUUGAUUUGGAGAAUAAAAUCAAGGCGAACUGGGAUCAUUUCAAAGAAGUUCUGGAGCGCCACAAGAUGAAAUCAAUGAUUGAAGUUCGGGAUUUACAACGUUCAGAAGCAUUCUUGAAACAAAAGUUGGAGAAUCGCAAUAGUGAUUUAAAGUAUAUGCUGGUUCAGGUCCUCAAAAAUGAAAUUUCUGAAUUGAAAAACCAAAUAGAGGAGAAGGAGAGAACAAUUGAAAAACUGCGUGACGACAAGAUUCAGAUUCAGGCUGACAGUGAUGCUAAGGAUGGACAAAACGAAAUUUUAAAAUUAAAGGUUUCUAGUUUGGAAAAAGAAAUUGCUGAAGCAAAGCAGAAAAACAUAGACGAUGCAAAAAAACUCGAAGAAAGAUUGGAAAUGGCAUCAAACCUGGAAACCAAAAUUGAGGAGCUUACAAAUGAAAAAGCUCAACUCAAUGAAAAUAUAAAAAUUUGGAGAUCAAUGAAGGUGGAGUGGGAUCUCAAAUAUAAGGACUUGAAAGGUUUGCACGAGUCUUGCUUGGGUGACCUAAAGUCAUGUACUAAAUUUCCAAUCAAUCAUAAACGAUUUGCAUAUAGAUUCAAAUAA
Molecule: long non-coding RNA, 1188 nt
Filed under: Oryzias javanicus (javanese ricefish)
Lineage: Eukaryota; Metazoa; Chordata; Actinopteri; Beloniformes; Adrianichthyidae
Description: lncRNA (ENSOJAG00000004448.1)
Source: RNAcentral